Molecule: ribosomal RNA, 94 nt
Filed under: Allobosea rubneri
Lineage: Bacteria; Pseudomonadati; Pseudomonadota; Alphaproteobacteria; Hyphomicrobiales; Alloboseaceae
Source: RNAcentral
CCAGAACCCGAUCCCAUCCCGAACUCGGCCGUUAAACUCCUCAGCGCUGAUGGUACUGUGUCUCAAGACCCGGGAGAGUAGGUCGUCGCCGGGC